This is a non-coding RNA of Otolemur garnettii (small-eared galago), 298 nucleotides long. The record is from Rfam. Lineage: Eukaryota; Metazoa; Chordata; Mammalia; Primates; Galagidae.
GCCGAGGGAGGUGGCACAUGCCUAUACUCCACUACUUGGGAGGCUGAGGCCGGAGGAUCAGUGGGAGCCCAGCAGUGUUGGGCUAUAGUGCACUAUGGCUAUUGAGUGUCCACACUCUGUCUGGAUCAAUAUGGUGAUCUCAUAGGAGCCAGAGACCACCAGCUAGCUUACGGAGGGGUGAACUGGCCCAAGUGCUAAAUGGAACAGAUUCAAACUCCAGUGUUUAUCAUUAGUGGGAUCACACCUGUGAAUAGCCACUGCACCCUGGCCUGAGCAACAUAGUGAGACCCUGUCUCCU